CUCCAGACUGGGUAACAGAGUGUGACCCUGUCUCAAAAAAAAAAAAGUAAGAUAAAUAAAGAAAAGUAAUUAUCAUUAGAUCAUUGGCUGUGGCAACAAGGAGUUCACUGGCGAGAGUGGCAAGGGCUAUUCCAGUGGGAGACCUGGCCAAAGGCUUACUUGAGUGGACUGAGUAAGGUCAUGGAGAAGAUGAAGGAAUGAUUUCAAACAUGUAAACUGAAAAGAUUGGCUAUUACUUAUUGAGUGCUUAGGAUAUCUAAGCAUCUCUCGAAGGACUUUAUAUGAAUUUACUUUAUAUGAGGAAGUUAUGUGUAUUAGCUACAAUUUGUAGACAAGGAAACUGAGUUAACAGAAAGCCUAUAUUACUUGUAUGAUAACAUAUAGUAAGUGAUGUGAUGGAGCAGGGAUUUUUUUUUUUUUUCGGAGUCUCCCUCUAUUGUCCAGGCUGGAGUGCAGUGGUGUGAUCUUGGCUCACUGCAACCUUCGCCUCCCGGGUUCAAGCAAUUUUCCUGUCUCAGCCUCCCAAGUAGCUGAGACUACAGGCGCCUGCCACCACACCCGGCUAAUUUUUGUAUUUUUAUUUUUAGUAGAGAUGGGGUUUCACCUUGUUGGUGAGGCUGGUCUCAAAUUCCUGGCCUCAGGUGAUCCACCUGCCUUGGCCUCCCAAAGUGCUGGUAUUACAGGCGUGAGCCACCACGCCUGGCCGGAGCAGGGAUUUUUAACCCAAGGAGUCUAACUUUAGGAAUCUGGCUCUUAAUCCCUAUGUUAUAGCAGAAGACUCUCUACAAUUAGUUCCAUAACUUCCUGAUACUAAGACUACAAAAAUGAAAUGUUCCUUUUCAUAGGGAUAACAUCGAUGAUGAUACUUCCAUCAAAAUUUUCUGCAACCAUUUUUCUUGCAGUUGACACUUAUCUUCACCUUUCUUUUUCUGGUGGAAGGAAACAGGGAAAGUGGGAUGCUAUGGUUUGAAUGUGUCUCCUCCAAAAUUCAGGUGUUCUCAAUGUGAUAGUAUUAAGAGGUGGGCUUUUAGGAAGUGAUUAGGUUAUCUACAUUCCACUGUCAUGAAUGGAAUUAAGACCCUCAUAAAAGACGCUUCACACAACAUUUGGCCCUUUUGCCCUCCUCCCUUCUGCCAUGUGAGAACACAGUGUUAUCCACUGUGGAGGACACAGCAACAAGACACCAUCAUGGGAGCAGAGAGCAGCUCUCAUGGGACACCAAAUUCCAGCACCUCGAUCUUCGACUUUUCAGCCUCCCAGAACUGUGAGAAUAUAUUACCAGUUACAGGUAUUUUCUUAUAGUGGCACAAACUAAGGCAGGAAGUAAUAUAACAGAAAAUGGUAAAAUAAUAUAGACAUGAAUGAUGAAGUUUAGAUAAAGAUACAAACAUUUAAUAAUCUUAUGGCUUUCUUCUACUAAAAACAAAACACUAAAAAAAAUUUCCAGUUUAGAUUAAUUAUGGAAGGAAAUAAAAAAUGCACUGAAAAUAUUUAUGAUUACUACUGUUACAGGAUCUCUUUGGGGUGUGGAUUUUCUGGCCAGAAGCCUCUGUGGCUGUGGCACCUUGGCCUGCAUCCAGGAAGAAUGAGGUACAAAGACAAGUGAAGAAUGAACAAGAGGAAGAUGAGCUUUAUUGAGUGUUUGUACAGCUAAGAGGAGACGCGCAGUGGCAGUGGGUGGCUCCCUUCUGUAGGCAGGUCAUUCACCCGGUGUUCGGUUCUCAGCAAAGAGAAGGCCCUGGAGAGAGUGGCUUCUCUCUGCUCACUGGUCAUCCCAAUCGAUGUCUGCAGCUCUCAGCAGAGAGGAGGCCCGGAAGAGGGUGAGGCCCUGGAGAGGGUGGCUCCUCUCUGCCUGCAGGUCAUCUCUGCAGCUCUCAGCAGAGAGGGUAGCUCCUCUCUGCAACUGGUUGUUCCAUCCUCUCUCUGCCCUUUUCUUCUCUGGCCAUCCUCUCCUGUGCUCUGGCUGAGUCCAGAACUUUUAUGGAUCUCAGAGGGGAGGAAGUGCCUGUGGAAUCAUCCAUGCGCAGCCACAGGCUGGCGGGAAGAGGCACCACGAGCCCCCACUCCAGUCCAUGGGACUGGCAGCCUGCCCCCACCCUUCAGGCCCUCUCUGGCCUGAAGGUGAGGCCUUACUGGGGACCCACCCUUUUCCACCCAGGAAUCAGUCCCCUUUUCCAUCCAAGAAUCAGUCUGCCUCCCGCUGCCAUUCAUGGCCCCUAGGGAUUGGCCCCAACCCCUGCUCUGAGAUUGGAGCACACUCCAGGAGUGGAGAGAGGCCAGGCAGCGGAAGCAGACACCCACGAAGCCUGCUCGGAGGAUUAGGGGUGUCCUUCUUGGGUCCCCUAAGGGUUCAGGCUGCAGAGAUGCCAGGGUCUUGCGCCUGGGAGGGUGGCUUCAGCUGCACCCAGGAGGGCAGAUCCUGCCUGCUCCUGGCCCCCUCCAAGAGCAGACGGAGGCUCAGACCCACAGCUGCAGUUUGGGUGGGGUUCCUGCCUGUUCCAUAGAGCAGGAGCCCUGGGUCUGCAGCCACAGCUUGGGUGGCAGCAGCGGCAUCCAGGGAGCUCCUGCCCCAACUCAGAAGGGACAGGGCUCCCACCAGCUCCAUGGAGUGUGCAGCCCCAGCACACCUCCCUGCUGCAGCUGGUACCACUGCCAUCACUAUGUCCCAGGCAUCAUGGAUACCAAGUACCAGGACAAAGUCAUCAUUCCCUUAAAGCUUAUAAUCUAGUGAAAGCAGAAAAAAUUAAAAUAUUAUAACACAGUGUGACAUUUUGUUGAAUAUUACGUUAGUGCAGGUGCAGGUACAAUGGGAACACCAAACUGAAGGCCUAAUCUGAUCCAGACCUGGGAAGAUUUCCCUCAGCAAGCAUUGUGUAAUUUGAGAUAAGCGGAACAUAUGGACUGUUAGAUAUAUACUCUGUAAAACUCUCAAUGGUUAGCCUUUAGAUAGAUACAUGUAUAGAUUAGGGUGAGCAAACCCAUGGGCCAAAUCUGGUCUUCCAGUUUUUUGUAAACAAAGUUUUACUGAAUACAGCUUUGGUCAUGAAAUUACAUAUUACUACUUUGUCAACACAGUGGCUGAGCUUAGUGUCUAUAUGACAUACAAAACAGAAAAUAUUUGUUAUCUGGCCCUUUAUAGAAAAAAAUUGCCAACUCUUGAUAUAAAUAAUUUACUUGUUGCAUGUAUAAAUUAUUAUAAUUAAUGUUUUCAAGGAAUAUUUGUAAAUAUUUGUCAUUAAAUUAUUAUAUUUAAAGUAUUUUUAAAUUAGUUUAUCAAAUGAAUUUUUUUUUAAUUUAAAAAACAUGGAAACACUGAGUGAGCUUUUUAUAAGGCAAUUAUCAACUAGUGCUUAUUAGCUGUGGCCCCCUUAAGAUGGGAUGAGCUUUCCAGGUCAUCACUGCCCCGCCAGUCCUUGUUUUUCCUAUAUGUGACUCUGUCACUCAUUUAUAUUAUUUUUCUGGACCCUCUAGGAUUUGAGUUUUGACCCAAUGAAAGUGAAUCCAAGAUGAAGUCUGUCUUUCUAAGCAAAUGCCAGGAAAGAUAAUCAAUGGAAGUUCAAAGAUGAAAAUACAGGCUGUUGUCAGAGGAUCUGCUGUUUCAGAGAAUAAAGAGUUAAGGAAGGGACAAAAAAAAUCACAUUCCAUUCUGUAGUGGACUAGAGGAAAAGUGUCCAGCUGGGAGAAGAAUGGCUGCAGAGAAGGAAGCAGAAAGAUGAGCUGAGAGACUUCUCAGCAGGCUGGAAUGGGACUAUAACUGAUAUAUCAUGACCACACCAACUGAGGGUGUGGAGUAGGUCACCCAUUGGGGAUGGAAA
Molecule: long non-coding RNA, 3815 nt
Filed under: Homo sapiens (human)
Lineage: Eukaryota; Metazoa; Chordata; Mammalia; Primates; Hominidae
Description: HSALNT0321523
Source: RNAcentral